Molecule: ribosomal RNA, 336 nt
Filed under: Triticum aestivum (bread wheat)
Lineage: Eukaryota; Viridiplantae; Streptophyta; Magnoliopsida; Poales; Poaceae
Description: partial small subunit ribosomal RNA
Source: RNAcentral
AUGUACUCCAUCAGAGGAUCAAAUGAUCAGAGAGAGGAGAUGAACCUGGGCACCAGCCGAACCCAGCAGCAGCUCCUGGACGUGGGAGAGGAGAAGCGCCUGCGCCUGGAUGCAGUGGCCGGAGGUGGGUACGGAGGUGGAGAUGGAGGAACAGCCUGUGCUCGCCUCCACCUGGGCGCGGGUCAGGAGGAGCCCCUGUGUGUGGGCGGCAGCAGAGCACCAGCUCUACUCCAGCGGCGGCAGCGCCUGGGCAGGGGGCGGAGGUGGAGACGGAGGGCGGAGGUGGAGAUGGAGGUGGAGGGCGGAGGUGAGGGUGGAGGUGGAGGGCGGAGGUGA